Molecule: ribosomal RNA, 255 nt
Filed under: uncultured bacterium
Lineage: Bacteria
Description: partial 16S ribosomal RNA
Rfam family: Bacterial small subunit ribosomal RNA
Source: RNAcentral
UACAGAGGGUGCGAGCGUUGUCCGGAAUCACUGGGCGUAAAGGGCGCGUAGGUGGUGGCUUAAGCGUGCGGUGAAAGCUCGGGGCUCAACCCCGAGUCGGCCGUGCGAACUGGGCUCACUGGAGCAUAGUAGAGGCAGGUGGAAUUCCGGGUGUAGCGGUGGAAUGCGUAGAGAUCCGGAAGAACACCGGUGGCGAAGGCGGCCUGCUGGGCAGUAGCUGACGCUGAGGCGCGACAGCGUGGGGGAGCAAACAGG